RNAcentral lists this ribosomal RNA (1059 nucleotides) under Triticum aestivum (bread wheat). Its description in RNAcentral is "partial small subunit ribosomal RNA". The record is from RNAcentral. Lineage: Eukaryota; Viridiplantae; Streptophyta; Magnoliopsida; Poales; Poaceae.
AUGUCGCCGUCGGGGUCCGCAUCCGCCAUCGUCGCCGACAAAACGGAAGGGUACCACUUUCUCACGAUCCACGACUACUCCCGAACCAAGGGCGUCCCCAUCGGCGAGGGGAUCGGCUCCCAGCCCUUCACAGUCGGCGGCCACCGUUGGUGCAUCUACUAUUACCCCAACGGUGAUCGCACGGAGGUUGCGGACUACGUGUCCUUCUCCCUGGAACUAGAAGAAGAUGGCGCGACGGCGGUGAAGGCCCAUUUCAGAUUCUGUUUCACGGGCGAGGGGGAGGAGGAGGAGGCGAAGCACGCGGCUUUGCUGGCGUUGGCAUCGGUGGACGAAUACACCUCCGGGAACGGCUGGGUGUGUACGAAGUUCAUCAACAGGAAGGUCCUGGAGAACUCCAAGCAUCUAAAGAACAACUCGUUCAUGGUCCGGUGCGACAUCGUUGUCAUACACAGGUACGGUUCUGCGUACAACCCGGUGGCCUACGUCUCCGUGCCCCCAUGCGAUUCGUCCCAGGACUUUGGCGAGCUCCUGGAGACUGAGAAGGGCGCCGAUGUGGUGUUCGAGGUUGGCGGCAAGACCGUGGCCGCACACCGGUGCAUCCUUGCGGCCCGCUCGCCGGUCUUUGCAGCCGAGCUCUUCGGACCAAUGAAGGAGGGCAAUGCUGCCACUGCUGGCGUAGUGCACUUGGAAGACAUGGAGAUGGAGGUGUUCAAGGCGCUGCUCCGUUACGCGUACACGAGCUCACUGUCACUGCAGGGGAUGGCGAAUGACCACGUCACGUGCCAGAAAAUUCUCGUCGCGGCAGACAGGUAUGGCAUGGGGCGGCUGAAGCUACUCUGCGAGGAGUGGAUCUGCGAGUGCAUUGACGUGGACACGGCAGCGACCAUCCUGGCGCUAGCCGAGCGGCACCAUUGUGAGGGGCCGAAGAAGGCGUGCUUCGAUUUUCUUGCGGAUCCGGCGAAGCUGAGGGCAUUCAUGGCCACCGGCGGUUUCCAGUAUCUGUGGGAAAGCUGCCCUUCUCUCAUGAUGGAGCUCAUGGACAUGUGCUUGCCGUAUUAG